Molecule: ribosomal RNA, 527 nt
Filed under: Cutaneotrichosporon jirovecii
Lineage: Eukaryota; Fungi; Basidiomycota; Tremellomycetes; Trichosporonales; Trichosporonaceae
Description: eukaryotic LSU rRNA
Rfam family: 5.8S ribosomal RNA (bases 147-300)
Source: RNAcentral
UCCGUAGGUGAACCUGCGGAAGGAUCAUUAGUGAAUUGCUCUUUGAGCGUUAACUACAUCCAUCUACACCUGUGAACUGUUGAUUGACUCCGGUCAAUUACUUUACAAACAUUGUGUAAUGAACGUCAUGUUAUUAUAACAAAAAUAACUUUCAACAACGGAUCUCUUGGCUCUCGCAUCGAUGAAGAACGCAGCGAAAUGCGAUAAGUAAUGUGAAUUGCAGAAUUCAGUGAAUCAUCGAAUCUUUGAACGCAACUUGCGCUCUCUGGUAUUCCGGAGAGCAUGCCUGUUUGAGUAUCAUGAAAUCUCAACCAUUAGGGUUUCUUAAUGGCUUGGAUUUGGGCGCUGCCACUUGCCUGGCUCGCCUUAAAAGAGUUAGCGUGUUUAACUUGUCGAUCUGGCGUAAUAAGUUUCGCUGGUGUAGACUUGAGAAGUGCGCUUCUAAUCGUCUUCGGACAAUUCUUGAACUCUGGUCUCAAAUCAGGUAGGACUACCCGCUGAACUUAAGCAUAUCAAUAAGCGGAGGA